Long non-coding RNA from Corvus hawaiiensis (hawaiian crow), 1306 nucleotides. RefSeq lists it as uncharacterized. The record is from RefSeq and is a predicted model, not a curated record. NCBI's taxonomy places the organism in Eukaryota, Metazoa, Chordata, Aves, Passeriformes, Corvidae. The transcript is spliced from 4 exons.
UUUGUCUUACUAAUCCAAAAUAUUUUGACUGCCUCAGAAUUAAAUGCUUCAAUAGCAUUUUGAUUUUUUGUUUUCACCAAAAGCUUCAACAAAAUGAACCUUUUCCUGACAGCCCCUCCUGCUGAGUAGGCAUUCUGUCCAGGGAAACUCUUCUGUCAUGGUGAUUCUGCUCAGCAUUAAAUUUCAGGUCAGAUGUCUUCCUGCUUGCUCCUAAAACAACUAUACUAAGUCCAGGUCAAAGACCUCUUCCUUUUGAUGCUUAAAAUGCCUUUGGAUACAGGAUGACUCUUGACCUACAGCUCCAGGGUGGGAGGAAGAAAUGAAAAUGAAAGAAUAAGAAAUUAUUUUGUCAAUACUUCAUCUGGAAUUUUGGACUAAGAGUAGUCUCACUGGAAAAUCAGUGACCUGUGGGUCAAUAUCCGUGAUUUUGGAGGUGCUCCCACCAAAUCAUCAGCUACCUUGACUGCAAUGUCUUAAUUGUUAUUGGCUCUCGAGGUUUGUAAUGAACAGUGGCACCCUUCAGCUGGAGGUGACUGGUAUUGAGCCUGCCUUGGGCUGGGAAUAACUUGAGAGACUCCACGCAGUCUUUACCCUCUGAUAGCUCCUGGGUGACGUCUCAGGGCUUGCAUGAGCAUCCCAGCCUUUUCUGCUUCUCACAUCCCCACCAGCGAGGAGGCUGUGGGUGCACAAGUAGCUGGGAGGAGACAGCUGGGACAGCUGACCCCCAAGUCACUAAAGGGAUGUCCUACACCAUGUGACAUCAUGCUCAGUAUAUAAAGAAGUGGGAAAAAGACAAAGGUGGGCAGAAGUUUGUCUUCCCAAGUAACCAUGAUGUGCCAUGGAGCCCUGCUGUCCUGGGGUGGCCUGCUGGUGGGAAAUAGGGAUUGAAUUCCUUACUUUGCUUUGCUUUGCCUAUUCAACCAUCUUUAUCUCAACCUAUGAGUUUUCUCACUUUUGUCCUUCAGAUUCUCUCCCUGAUCCAUUGUGGUGAUGUUGUAUUUAACAGGCUUGGUGGAUUGCCUUUGAAAUAUCAUGUACCAGAAAUGACACAGAGGCAAAUAGACUCAUAAGACUCAGAUGGUAUAAGGCUCCUUCUCUUUCCAUGACCAGACCAUUUGGGAAUUUUCUUUCUGCUUUUCCAUCGUUUGCAUCAAAUGAAGUUGAGUUCUUGACCACCAGAUUGUACUGAUAUAUAUUGUUAACAAUUCAGAAGAUGCCGAAAAUUCUUCAAGGUCUUCACUAAGAUUUCCAAAAAAGCAGAAAGGAUUGUUCAGCUUAUUUUAUUAUAAAAAUUAAAGAACCUUAA